AGCAGCCGCGGUAAUUCCAGCUCCAAUAGCGUAUAUUAAAGUUGCUGCAGUUAAAAAGCUCGUAGUUGAAUUUCGGGGUUAGUAGGUUGGUCAUGCCUCUGGUAUGUACUGGUCUCACUGAUUCCUCCUUCCUGAUGAACCUUAAUGCCAUUAAUUUGGUGUUUUGGGGAAUUUGGACUGUUACUUUGAAAAAAUUAGAGUGUUUAAAGCAAGCUAACGCUUGAAUACAUUAGCAUGGAAUAAUGAAAUAGGACGUUCGAUCCUAUUUUGUUGGUUUCUAGGAUUGACGUAAUGAUUAAUAGGGAUAGUUGGGGGCAUUAGUAUUCAAUUGUCAGAGGUGAAAUUCUUGGAUUUAUUGAAGACUAACUACUGCGAAAGCAUUUGCCAAGGAUGUUUUCAUUAAUCAAGAACGAAAGUUAGGGGAUCGAAGACGAUCAGAUACCGUCGUAGUCUUAACCAUAAACUAUGCCGACUAGGGAUCGGAUGAUGUAAUUUUUAAUGACUCAUUCGGCGCCUUACG
Molecule: ribosomal RNA, 520 nt
Filed under: uncultured Glomus
Lineage: Eukaryota; Fungi; Glomeromycota; Glomeromycetes; Glomerales; Glomeraceae
Description: SSU rRNA
Rfam family: Eukaryotic small subunit ribosomal RNA
Source: RNAcentral